RNAcentral lists this ribosomal RNA (253 nucleotides) under uncultured bacterium. Its description in RNAcentral is "partial 16S ribosomal RNA". It matches the Rfam family "Bacterial small subunit ribosomal RNA", at positions 524 to 776 of the family's 1533-position model. The record is from RNAcentral.
UACAGAGGUGGCAAGCGUUGUUCGGACUUACUGGGCGUAAAGGGCGCGUAGGCGGCCUCGCAAGUCCCGUGUGAAAUCCCUCGGCUCAACUGAGGAAUGGCACGGGAAACUGCGGGGCUUGAGUUCGGGAGAGGGAAGCGGAAUUCCGGGUGUAGCGGUGAAAUGCGUAGAUAUCCGGAGGAACACCAGUGGCGAAGGCGACUACCUGGCCUGUUCUUGACGCUGAGGCGCGAAAGCUAGGGGAGCAAACGGG